GUAGUGUAUUGGUUUCAUAUCAGCAUAGCUUCCCAAUUCAUAUAUGGAGUUCAGCAUAUCAGGAAAUAAGUGACCUUUCCCAAAUAAUGCACAAAUGUGUCAGAGCCACAAGAGGUUGAUGAAGAUGGUGAUAAGGGAAAGGGAUAGAGUGGGCGCUAUGCGGAAGCGACGACAGCCUACUACCUAAAUGCUUCAAGGCAUCGUGUUCUAUUCGAGUAGCAAGUACAUUGACUUUCACACGUCUAGCCCCUUACCUGCAGGUAGUUGUUAGCUCCGGCAGCUCCAAAUACUCCUAGAAGUUUCAAGACCACCAAGUACUCCUGCGGAGUCAUUAAUGCUCUUGGACACCGUUAUUUCACCAAGAACAUGAUCAUUGGGACAUGCCAAGCUGAUUGUAAAUUAUUGUAUUUUUUGUGAUACGAUGUAAUUGUAAAUUAUUUUAUUUUUGUGCAUAAAUAAUUGAUUGAUCGGCCUAUCUUAGAAACA
Hordeum vulgare subsp. vulgare (domesticated barley) is the source of this 486-nucleotide long non-coding RNA. RefSeq lists it as uncharacterized. Lineage: Eukaryota; Viridiplantae; Streptophyta; Magnoliopsida; Poales; Poaceae. The transcript is spliced from 3 exons. The record is from RefSeq and is a predicted model, not a curated record.